This 445-nucleotide ribosomal RNA is filed under the name uncultured bacterium. RNAcentral describes it as "partial 16S ribosomal RNA". It matches the Rfam family "Bacterial small subunit ribosomal RNA", at positions 354 to 796 of the family's 1533-position model. The record is from RNAcentral.
GUAGGGAAUAUUGGACAAUGGGGGGAACCCUGAUCCAGCAUGCCGCGUGGAGGAAGACUGCCCUCUGGGUUGUAAACUCCUUUUAUAUGGGAAGAACCGUCCUCAUUAAUGAGUGACCUGACGGUACCAUAGGAAUAAGCACCGGCUAACUCCGUGCCAGCAGCCGCGGUAAUACGGAGGGUGCAAGCGUUAUCCGGAUUCACUGGGUUUAAAGGGUGCGUAGGCGGAUAAAUAAGUCAGUGGUGAAAUCAACGGGCUCAACCUGUUAACUGCCAUUGAUACUGUGUAUCUUGAAUAUGAGAGAGGUAGGCGGAAUGUUGCAUGUAGCGGUGAAAUGCUUAGAUAUGCUACGGAACACCGAUUGCGAAGGCAGCUUACUAUUUCGUAAUUGACGCUGAGGCACGAAAGCGUGGGUAGCGAACAGGAUUAGAUACCCGGGUAGUCC